GUAACACGUAGUCAACAUGCCCAGGGGACGUGGAUAACCUCGGGAAACUGAGAUUAAACCGCGAUAGGUCAAGAUUUCUGGAAUGGAUCGUGUCUUAAAUCUACAUGGCCCCUGGAUUGGACUGCGGCCGAUCAGGCUGUUGGUGAGGUAAUGGCCCACCAAACCUAUAACCGGUACGGGCUCUGAGAGGAGAAGCCCGGAGAUGGGCACUGAGACAAGGGCCCAGGCCCUAUGGGGCGCAGCAGGCGCGAAACCUCUGCAAUGGGCGAAAGCCUGACAGGGUUACUCUGAGUGAUUUCCGCUAAGGAGAUCUUUUGGCAGCUCUAAAAAUGGUGCAGAAUAAGGGGUGGGCAAGUCUGGUGUCAGCCGCCGCGGUAAUACCAGCACCCCGAGUGAUCGGGACGAUUAUUGGGCCUAAAGCAUCCGUAGCCGGUCGUGCAAGUCCUCCGUUAAAUCCAGCCGCUCAACGGAUGGGCUGCGGAGGAUACUACAGGACU
Molecule: ribosomal RNA, 497 nt
Filed under: uncultured archaeon
Lineage: Archaea
Description: bacterial SSU rRNA
Rfam family: Archaeal small subunit ribosomal RNA
Source: RNAcentral